CACCUGUACCCAUACCGAACACAGAAGUUAAGCUCUUUAGCGUCGAAUGUAGUUGGGUUUACGCCCUGCGAGACUAGAACGUUGCCAGGC
RNAcentral lists this ribosomal RNA (90 nucleotides) under Gemella sanguinis. The record is from RNAcentral. Lineage: Bacteria; Bacillati; Bacillota; Bacilli; Caryophanales; Gemellaceae.